GAUGAACGCUGGCGGUAUGCCUAACACAUGCAAGUCGUACGAGAGUUUUUAACUCUAGUGGCGGACGGGUGAGUAACACGUGAGAAUUUGCCUUUAGGAGGGGGAUAACAAUUGGAAACGAAUGCUAAUACCCCAUAUGCUUUUGAGUGAAACGGAUUUAUCCGCCUAGAGAGAAGCUCGCGGCUGAUUAGCUUGUUGGUAAGGUAAGAGCUUACCAAGGCGACGAUCAGUAUCUGGUUUGAGAGGACGAUCAGACACACUGGAACUGAGACACGGUCCAGACUCCUACGGGAGGCAGCAGUGGGGAAUUUUCCGCAAUGGGCGAAAGCCUGACGGAGCAAUACCGCGUGAGGGAAGACUGCCUAUGGGUUGUAAACCUCUUUUUUCAGGGAGGAAUAAAUGACGUGUACCUGAAGAAUAAGCAUCGGCUAACUCCGUG
This 439-nucleotide ribosomal RNA is filed under the name uncultured bacterium. RNAcentral describes it as "bacterial SSU rRNA". It matches the Rfam family "Bacterial small subunit ribosomal RNA", at positions 28 to 507 of the family's 1533-position model. The record is from RNAcentral.